GUAUGACUUUUAGGAAUAUAAAGAUUAAUCUGAGUUUAGAAUAGGAUUAAGGAAGAGAAUAAGAGAUUUACGAAACUGAUUAGAGACUAAUGGAGAAUCAUGAUGAAAUGAGUAAAGAGAAAGAUUGUUUAGAACUGUCUAAUCUUUAUUAAUGAUCUUGAGUUACAAUAUAUAGUAAGGAGAGCUUAGGGUUUCGAUCACAAAAGGAUAAGGAAAGCAUGUGAAGUCAAAAGGAGGAGGAGCCUAUAUUUGAAUCCGGCCAAUGAGCUUCUCCAAGUGUGUGAGGCAUCUAGCAUCUUCCCAUAGAUGCUGUUUACUUUCCAGUCCAUGCCAGACUGUCAGUCCGCGCCUAAUCCCUUCUUCCUCCGCGGUCUUAUCCACUCCAAAGCUUAUCCUCCUCUCCACUAAGUUACCUUGGUAACUUAUCUUUACCUUGGUGAGUUUGGUUGAUGUCCUAUGUACGGAUGGUACGGCCUGUACGGCCUUGUACGGAUCACUCAACCCAAACUCAUCUCUUCUUUCAUACUUCAUCUCUUCCUCUAAUGCCUUAACUCCCUUAGCUCCUCUUCUCAUAUACUUAACUCUGAUCAACACUCCCCCUCAAGCUUAGCUUUGUGAAAGUCUAAGCUUGGACAGCUAUGAGAUCUUCCUCAUUAAAAACCUUAC
This 666-nucleotide long non-coding RNA is filed under the name Brassica napus (rape). Its description in RNAcentral is "long non-coding RNA (BNAP_LNC007866)". The record is from RNAcentral. Lineage: Eukaryota; Viridiplantae; Streptophyta; Magnoliopsida; Brassicales; Brassicaceae.